RNAcentral lists this small nucleolar RNA (131 nucleotides) under Sorex araneus (European shrew). Its description in RNAcentral is "Small Cajal body specific RNA 11 (ENSSARG00000019160.1)". It matches the Rfam family "Small Cajal body specific RNA 11". From Rfam's summary of the family: scaRNAs are a specific class of small nuclear RNAs which localise to the Cajal bodies and guide the modification of RNA polymerase II transcribed spliceosomal RNAs U1, U2, U4, U5 and U12. ACA57 belongs to the H/ACA box class of guide RNAs as it has the predicted hairpin-hinge-hairpin-tail structure, conserved H/ACA-box motifs and is found associated with GAR1. Lineage: Eukaryota; Metazoa; Chordata; Mammalia; Eulipotyphla; Soricidae. The record is from RNAcentral.
UGGCCCUUGCCUGUACUUCGCCUGCUGCUGUGCACAGCUCCUAUAGGCAGAACACAGGACAAUCUCCCUCUCUGUUUUCAGAGGCACCAUCCUGAGAAUAGGAAUGGUUCUAAAAGGCAUGAGAGGACAAU